Molecule: ribosomal RNA, 388 nt
Filed under: uncultured bacterium
Lineage: Bacteria
Description: partial 16S ribosomal RNA
Rfam family: Bacterial small subunit ribosomal RNA
Source: RNAcentral
AUACGUAGGUGGCAAGCGUUAUCCGGAAUUAUUGGGCGUAAAGAGUGAGCAGGCGGUUAAUUAAGUCUGAGGUUAAAGCGUGGGGCUCAACCCCAUAAAGCCUUGGAAACUGAUUGACUAGAGUACGGGAGAAGUGAAGGGAACUCCAUGUGUAGGGGUGAAAUGCGUAGAUAUAUGGAAGAACACCAGUGGCGAAGGCGCUUCACUAGCCCGAAACUGACGCUCAGUCACGAAAGCGUGGGUAGCAAAUAGGAUUAGAUACCCUAGUAGUCCACGCUGUAAACGAUGACAACUAAAUAUUGCCGCGAGGCAGUGUUGAAGCUAACGCAUUAAGUUGUCCGCCUGGGGAGUACGGUCGCAAGACUGAAACUUAAAGGAAUUGACGGGG